GAGCCCCUGCCGUGCGCGUGAUCGGCGGGAGAGUUUGAGCCAACACACGACGAACGGGAUCCCAACCUGGCGACGGUGAGCAUCCCCCCUUACGGGGAAGCCUGAAGCCGCCAACCCCGGGAACCCACCUGGUGAAAGCCAGGUUCAACUCGACCGUCGACACGGCAUUCGCGGGGGCGCU
This 181-nucleotide non-coding RNA is filed under the name Deltaproteobacteria bacterium GWA2_65_63. RNAcentral describes it as "6S RNA". It matches the Rfam family "6S / SsrS RNA". From Rfam's summary of the family: E. coli 6S RNA was the first non coding RNA to be sequenced, but its function was unknown until recently. It consists of 184 nucleotides that fold into an extended hairpin structure with a large single-stranded internal bulge. The 6S RNA specifically associates with RNA polymerase holoenzyme containing the sigma70 specificity factor. RNAcentral also lists the same sequence under 3 other names. Lineage: Bacteria; Deltaproteobacteria. The record is from RNAcentral.